UACGGGGGAGCAAGCGUUGUUCGGAUUUACUGGGCGUAAAGGGCGCGUAGGCGGCCACCGCAAGUCGGUUGUGAAAUCUCUGGGCUUAACCCAGAAAGGUCAACCGAUACUGCGGGCUAGAGUGCAGAAGGGCAACUGGAAUUCUCGGUGUAGCGGUGAAAUGCGUAGAUAUCGAGAGGAACACCUGCGGCGAAGGCGGGUUGCUGGGCUGACACGUGACGCUGAAGCGCGAAAGCUAGGGAGCGAACGGG
This 251-nucleotide ribosomal RNA is filed under the name uncultured bacterium. RNAcentral's name for it is "partial 16S ribosomal RNA". It matches the Rfam family "Bacterial small subunit ribosomal RNA", at positions 524 to 776 of the family's 1533-position model. The record is from RNAcentral.